This is a non-coding RNA of Oryza sativa Japonica Group (Japanese rice), 721 nucleotides long. The record is from RefSeq and is a predicted model, not a curated record. Lineage: Eukaryota; Viridiplantae; Streptophyta; Magnoliopsida; Poales; Poaceae.
AAACCUGUAAUCGACAAAAAAACGUAAAAUGAUAAGGAAUUGACUGGUUGAGUGCAUAUGUUUUCUUCAGACAUAAAAUAAGCAAAAUGCAUGGAUGUACUUGGCACUGUAAUUUAUGAUUCACUAUAGAGCACAAACUAUAGCAAGCUCAUAUCAAAUCAGAGUAGGUCAAUAGGUGCCUUCCAAUUUUUGUCAGUUUGAAAAGAUAAUUUUCGAGAAUCCUGUGUUUAAACAGUACAUAUUCAUCAUGAUGUCUAUUACACUAGCAGAUGGCCAUGCGUUAUUUGGAUGACAAAUCUGGUUCAGAAAUAAGGUCACUGCUUUCUAAUGGAAGACUAAGAGCUAAUGUAUUAUGUUGGCUAUAAAAUAGGAGAGGAGGAAGAUGGAGCUCAGUCGAUGGCAGAUUUCCCCUAUGUCGCAUGGACUGGUUCCCAUGGUGGCAAGGGCUCUGCUCGACUAGGGUUUGGUGGUCGAAGCCCCUCUCUGGUCUAUUCAUUGCUAUACUUCCUAAUGUAAUAUUAGGCCACUUUUACAUAUCAGGUGUCAUCUACUCUCUCCGUCCCAAAAUAAACCAACCUCGUACUAGGAAGUGUCAUAUACUAGUACGGGAUUGACUUAUUUUGGGACGGAGGGAGUAGAUAACUAGGAAACAUGAGAUAAACUACAAAAUAUUUAUAUGGCACAUCUUUAGCUGGAUGUGUAGUGUGGACUCUGUAGCUAC